This 918-nucleotide unclassified non-coding RNA is filed under the name Hevea brasiliensis (rubber tree). The record is from RNAcentral. Lineage: Eukaryota; Viridiplantae; Streptophyta; Magnoliopsida; Malpighiales; Euphorbiaceae.
UGUUGCAGGUGCACAUACAUUAAGCAUCUAAGUUCAAAAUCAUAUAUAUACAUAUACAUAAUAAUAUACCUUUUUCAUUUUGAGAGGAACAGACCAAUUAAUAAACACAAAUUGUUCCUCCACCAAUACUUGAUAUAUGUCCCUUCAAUUUUGUUCCUGCAGCAUCUCUCCAAGUAGUUCCGCGCCUCUUUUGUUAAUGUCACCACCUCUUAACAGUGUUGUAAGGAAUCUCGCAGGAUGGUACAGGCUACUAGGCAUAUCCAUUUGAGGAAAGUCUUCUUGUGCACUAUUUUCAAUCUCUGGCUCCAAAGGGGCCUUUCCUUUUUUAUUAGAAGUAUUCCUGUUGCUUUCCCUUUCAUUACCAGGAUCAGCUCUUUUAGAACCCUUGCUUGUCUGGGCUGCUUCGCUGUCAGGCCCUAGCUCUCUAGCUGCAAGGGUGUUUCCUUGACAUACUUCAUCAACUUGGAUAGCAGGGAUUGCACUACAACCUGAUUUACGAUUAGCUGCAAGAGUAUUUCCUUGACAUUUCUUUAGAGCUUCUGCAAUGGCACCAACAGCAAUGUUGUAGCUCUCCUGAGUCAAUGAUCCCUCUUCACCCAAUAUUAUUGCCCGUCGACACAAAUCAUUGUAACGACGGACCUUAGCUUGUGCGUCAUCCAGUCCUUCGAUUAUGGAAUGCUUGCUUGUAGCAGCAUUGGUCCAGCGUUGCAAUAUGUACUUGGACGGAAUAACGAAGACGCCAGACAUUUGAAGUACCACAAUCGCAUGCCUACAAAGGUAACCUUUGUACUCAAAUAAAUGGCAUGAACAGUACAGGUCAGACUUUGGUGCAUCCCACUCCACCACAAAGUCCUGAUUUGCUUCAAAAUCUUUGACGGCAUAUGUUAUGGAUGUGCCGUCUUCUGAUUCUUUUUUCAG